CAAGAGUAGAUGAACAAUUUGGUGAAAACAGUUUGCUAAAAUCUUUAGGUUUUAGAGAUAUAGCGAUAACAAGAAAAAGGGGAGGCGGGGAGAUAACUCCUAUAAGAAUAAGUGUUCCGAAGUCAAAAUAAACCAAAUCAUUCUCAAGAGUAGAUGAACAAUUUGGUGAAACAGUUUGCUAAAUCUUUACGGUUUUAGAGAUAUAGCGAUAACAAGAAAAAGGGGAGGCGGGGAUAAUCCUAUAAGAUAGUGUUCGUCACACAGGGUGAGUUUUGAAACCCCCAUUACUGUACAACAUCAUUGGCCAAAAAACACAUUCGAUAUGUUGUAAGACAAAAAAGCAUCUCAGACGGCAGAAGGAAAAAAAAAAAAAAAAAAAUAAUCAGAAGAAAAACAAAAGGUCUUUCCACGAAAAGUGGAAAGACCUAAUUAGCAGUAAUUAAAAUAUCAAAACUCUUCAAUCCUAUAUAAUAUUUUCACUGAUCAUGUUGAUAUUGAGAUCUGAAUUAUUUUAUUGAUUACCUGUCAAAAGUUGACUUGAUUGUUUUCUUGCUUCACACCCAUUCUAAAUUCUUAACUACCCCUUUUGAAUACUCAUGCAGGAUGUCCAACCUUUACUUUGAAUAUUCAAUUAUGAAUAAAAAGAUAUAAAAAUAAAAUAAAAUAAACGUCUUGAAUAAACGAAAAUGAAGAAAAAACGACAUUUGAAAUCUAAAAAUAAAUAAAUCCAAAAACUGUCCACAGUUAUGUAUAAUCUGCACCCAUCUUAAAUUCUCAAUAACAAUCACUUUCAUCAGUAUUAACUGAAAUAACUAUAACAUAGUACCUGGUAUUGCAAGUUUCAUACAUCAUUGAUCAAAAUCAAAUUUGUCACCUCAUAAAAAAACUAUAUCAGGAUGAUUGGGUUGGUCAGAAAUAACCAGACUGGACUGUCUGAAUUUCAAGCCUUGCAAAACACAUAAAACCUUGAUUAACCAUUACAGUCCCUACCUAAUUUUGAUUUAAAUAACUUUGGAUAAAGAUAAGAUUUAUUUUAUUAAAAUGUCACCAUCCAUUACAAUAUCUAUAUAUAUAUAUACACAUAAAGUCAUAAGAACCUAACAUUUAAGUAAAAGAAUGCCAGCCGAAAACGACUUAUGAGAC
Molecule: long non-coding RNA, 1143 nt
Filed under: Mytilus galloprovincialis (Mediterranean mussel)
Lineage: Eukaryota; Metazoa; Mollusca; Bivalvia; Mytilida; Mytilidae
Source: RNAcentral